CAGUCGCCGCGGUAACACGGAGGGCGCGAGCGUUACCCGGAUUUACUGGGCGUAAAGGGCGUGUAGGCGGCCUGGGGCGUCCCAUGUGAAAGGCCACGGCUCAACCGUGGAGGAGCGUGGGAUACGCUCAGGCUAGAGGGUGGGAGAGGGUGGUGGAAUUCCCGGAGUAGCGGUGAAAUGCGCAGAUACCGGGAGGAACGCCGAUGGCGAAGGCAGCCACCUGGUCCACUUCUGACGCUGAGGCGCGAAAGCGUGGGGAGCAAACCGGAUUAGAUACCCCCGUAGUCCCUGUCUCUUAUAC
Molecule: ribosomal RNA, 301 nt
Filed under: uncultured bacterium
Lineage: Bacteria
Description: partial 16S ribosomal RNA
Rfam family: Bacterial small subunit ribosomal RNA
Source: RNAcentral